This 406-nucleotide ribosomal RNA is filed under the name uncultured bacterium. RNAcentral's name for it is "partial 16S ribosomal RNA". It matches the Rfam family "Bacterial small subunit ribosomal RNA", at positions 30 to 526 of the family's 1533-position model. The record is from RNAcentral.
AUUGAACGCUAGCGGCAUGCCUAACACAUGCAAGUCGAACGAGUGGCGGACGGGUGAGUAAUGUCUGGGAACCUGCCUAGUGGCGGGGGAUAACUACUGGAAACGGUGGCUAAUACCGCAUACCAUCAGAUCGGCCGAUAUGGGAUUAGCUGGUUGGUGGGGUAACGGCUCACCAAGGCCACGAUCCCUAGCUGGUCUGAGAGGAUGACCAGCCACACUGGAACUGAGACACGGCCCAGACUCCUACGGGAGGCAGCAGUGGGGAAUAUUGGACAAUGGGGGAAAGCCUGAUGCAGCCAUGCCGCGUGUAUGAAGAAGGCCUUCGGGUUGUAAAGUACUUUUAGCGGGGAGGCGGUAUCCGCAGAAGAAGCACCGGCUAACUACGUGCCAGCAGCCGCGGUAAUUC